RNAcentral lists this ribosomal RNA (253 nucleotides) under uncultured bacterium. RNAcentral describes it as "partial 16S ribosomal RNA". It matches the Rfam family "Bacterial small subunit ribosomal RNA", at positions 524 to 776 of the family's 1533-position model. The record is from RNAcentral.
UACGUAGGGUGCAAGCGUUGUCCGGAAUUAUUGGGCGUAAAGAGCUCGUAGGCGGUCUGUCGCGUCGGAUGUGAAAAUCCAGGGCUCAACCCUGGACCUGCAUUCGAUACGGGCAGACUAGAGUUCGGUAGGGGAGACUGGAAUUCCCGGUGUAGCGGUGAAAUGCGCAGAUAUCGGGAGGAACACCAAUGGCGAAGGCAGCUCGCUGGGACGUGACUGACGCUGAGACGCGAAAGCGUGGGGAGCAAACAGG